Scleropages formosus (Asian bonytongue) is the source of this 489-nucleotide long non-coding RNA. RefSeq lists it as uncharacterized. Lineage: Eukaryota; Metazoa; Chordata; Actinopteri; Osteoglossiformes; Osteoglossidae. The record is from RefSeq and is a predicted model, not a curated record. The transcript has 3 exons.
GCCAGUCUAACAUGGAAAAAAAAAACACCCAGAAUACAACAUUUCACCAGAGUAAAAGGAAAUAUCCAAAGAGGUGAUGCCCGUGUUAAACAGGUGUUGCACGCAGCAGCGUUGAGCAGCAGACAGAACCUCACGACAAAAGACACUACAAGACAUCAACGGCUCAACGCUUUGAUACCUACAGGACCUGAUCACUCUUGGAGGCCCAAAAACAAAAUUCCAUUGGUUCUCUGUUUUGGCAGAAUGAGAUUCCUCUGUCACUCAGAACUGCUGAAUCCCUCCCAGCAUUCCAGAAGUGUCUCAAAUCGCAAUUCUUUCACACCCAUUUCUUUCCCUAUCUGAUGUACUCUUUACAUACUCUGUAUGUGACAAUUUUAAAAUGCCUAAUCUGCAUGGAUUAACAAGAAGUCUUUACAUCGGGGGAUUUUAUUUGCUGUAACGUCUUCUCUAAAUUCUCAAAAGUGUAUUUCUGGAGUUUCAGCAAAACCU